GAUGAACGCUAGCUACAGGCUUAACACAUGCAAGUCGAGGGGAAACGAUAUUGGAAGCUUGCUUCCGAUAGGCGUCGACCGGCGCACGGGUGAGUAACGCGUAUCCAACCUGCCCAUCACUUGGGGAUAACCUUGCGAAAGUAAGACUAAUACCCAAUGACGUCUCUAGAAGACAUCUGAAGGAGAUUAAAGAUUUAUCGGUGAUGGAUGGGGAUGCGUCUGAUUAGCUUGUUGGCGGGGUAACGGCCCACCAAGGCGACGAUCAGUAGGGGUUCUGAGAGGAAGGUCCCCCACAUCGGAACUGAGACACGGUCCAAAUUCCUACGGGGGGCAGCAGUGAGGAAUAUUGGUCAAUGGACGAGAGUCUGAACCAGCCAAGUAGCGUGCAGGAUGACGGCCCUAUGGGUUGUAAACUGCUUUUAUAAGGGAAUAAAGUGAGAGUCGUGACUCUUUUUGCAUGUACCUUAUGAAUAAGGACCGGCUAAUUCCGUGCCAGCCGCCGCGGUAA
RNAcentral lists this ribosomal RNA (508 nucleotides) under uncultured bacterium. Its description in RNAcentral is "partial 16S ribosomal RNA". It matches the Rfam family "Bacterial small subunit ribosomal RNA", at positions 28 to 523 of the family's 1533-position model. The record is from RNAcentral.